This 398-nucleotide ribosomal RNA is filed under the name uncultured bacterium. RNAcentral describes it as "bacterial SSU rRNA". It matches the Rfam family "Bacterial small subunit ribosomal RNA", at positions 358 to 774 of the family's 1533-position model. The record is from RNAcentral.
GGAAUAUUGGGCAAUGGGCGAACGCCUGACCCAGCAACGCCGCGUGAAGGAAGAAGGUUUUCGGAUCGUAAACUUCUGUCCUUGGUGAAGAUAAUGACGGUAGCCUGGGAGGAAGCCCCGGCUAACUACGUGCCAGCAGCCGGGUAAUACGUAGGGGGCGAGCGUUGUCCGGAAUGAUUGGGCGUAAAGGGCGCGUAGGCGGCCCGGUAAGUCUGAAGUGAAAGUCCUGGUUUUAAGUUGGGAAUUGCUUUGGAUACUGUCGGGCUUGAGUGCAGGAGAGGUAAGUGGAAUUCCCAGUGUAGCGGUGAAAUGCGUAGAGAUUGGGAGGAACACCAGUGGCGAAGGCGACUUACUGGACUGUAACUGACGCUGAGGCGCGAAAGUGUGGGGAGCAAACA